AUUUUGAUGUGCAUUUCUUUCAACCCAAAGUGUCUAGAUACUGUAUUGCCCAUUUUCUGCCAUAAGUACCAUGUUGGCUUUAAUCUAGCCUUUAUGUACAUCAGAAAAAACAUAUAACGUACUUAUCCUACACGCCUUCAAGAGAAAGAAGGUAACAAGGAAAAAACCUUCAAGAGAUUGAAGGAAACAACAAUAAGGUUGCCGCCAAUCCUACACUAGACCUUCAGCAAUGAUCAUAUCUAGCAAACUGCUAAUUCAUCCUAUAUGAACCUCGGCCUUCAGCGGGAAGAGAAGAGCAACCAGUAAACAAUCAAAAAAUUAAGAGCCCUCUGCUAAUAACUGAAGUUCAAAACUCUAAAAACGAUAUCAUCAGAAGAUGAUUAAUCUCAAUGUGCACAAGCUAUCACCAGUAGAUGAUCAAUCUCACUGCACAGGUGCGUCGUCAAGGGCCCUGCUUUCUUAUUCCACAUAUUGUCCUCCUAUGUUUUGCAGUAAAAGACGUAACUAUCAUCAGAAGAUGAUUGGUUACCUCAUUGACAUAAGAGUACGAACCUUUUUGUCUCUCUCUGCCUUCUUAGCACUAGCAGACCUCUUCAGUUUCUGAAGUUCCUCAAUCACUUCUUUCUCGACUGUGUCAAUUGAGUUCAGGAGCUUCUUUUGAGGUGUAAGCAAAGAAUCUUCGGAGGAUUGAUUUGUAAUAUCAAGCAGAAUUCUUGGAAUUUUGCCCACCGUAGGAGGACAGGGCUUCAGUUCAAGACUUGGUAUUGGAGACAUGAUAGUGUUACUGCGUUCGAGAUGAGCAUCUGGCGAUUCUUCAGAAGAGUCAAGAACACCAUAAGAGCGGGGCACUGAGCUCUCAAUUUCUUGGGCCCUGCCUACUCCCAAACGUUCCCUUCUCCUUUCAAUUGCCCUGACAAUAGCAGUGAUAUCUCGAAGAGGGGUUCUCGGGUACCAAGAAGGUAAGACACUGUUCGAGGCACGACCUCUUCCACUUCCAUUUCCCCGCCUCACACUCCCAAUUGACGUAUUCUCUCUACCUAUAGCCUGCGUUCUGUAAAUAUUCCUGCCACGCCCAGUCUGGCCUCUUGGAGUGCCCGAACCGCCCCUUCCACGGCCAAUAGGACUCAUGCCUACGGCCCUUGUUCGGUUAGCUACCAUUGGUGGACCACUCGGAGAUCCAAAGAAGGCCCUUUCAAGGUCUUGCUGGUCUUCAUAAAACCCAACAAUCCCUGACCUUCUACGAGCGAAUAAGGCAGCUAUGUCAAUGGCCCUCGACAAUCUGUCUCUGGAUUCCCGCAUUUUGAAUCGUUUCAACUUAAAAAAACUGUCCUUGAUUGGCAGCAGAGGGAGAAAUGGAGUUUUUUC
RNAcentral lists this unclassified non-coding RNA (1365 nucleotides) under Hevea brasiliensis (rubber tree). Lineage: Eukaryota; Viridiplantae; Streptophyta; Magnoliopsida; Malpighiales; Euphorbiaceae. The record is from RNAcentral.